This 81-nucleotide non-coding RNA is filed under the name unclassified sequences. Its description in RNAcentral is "pemK RNA". It matches the Rfam family "pemK RNA". The record is from RNAcentral. RNAcentral also lists the same sequence under 1 other name.
ACAAUGAUACUUCCGUCCAGUCACAGCUAAUAACAAUGAGGGCGGUUUUGUGAGAACCACAAAAGGGUGAGAUCCCCAUGA